CAGCAGCCGCGGUAAUACGAAGGGUGCAAGCGUUACUCGGAAUUACUGGGCGUAAAGCGUGCGUAGGUGGUCGUUUAAGUCCGUUGUGAAAGCCCUGGGCUCAACCUGGGAACUGCAGUGGAUACUGGGCGACUAGAAUGUGGUAGAGGGUAGCGGAAUUCCUGGUGUAGCAGUGAAAUGCGUAGAGAUCAGGAGGAACAUCCAUGGCGAAAGCAGCUACCUGGACCAACAUUGACACUGAGGCACGAAAGCGUGGGGAGCAAACAGGAUUAGAUACCCUGGUAGUCCACGCCCUAAACGAUGCGAACUGGAUGUUGGGUGCAAUUUGGCACGCAGUAUCGAAGCUAACGCGUUAAGUUCGCCGCCUGGGGAGUACGGCCGCAAGGUUGAAACUUAAAGGAAUUGGCGGG
This 410-nucleotide ribosomal RNA is filed under the name uncultured microorganism. RNAcentral describes it as "bacterial SSU rRNA". It matches the Rfam family "Bacterial small subunit ribosomal RNA", at positions 509 to 917 of the family's 1533-position model. The record is from RNAcentral.